GACGAACCGUGCGAACGUUGUUCGGAUUCACUGGGCAUAAAGGGCGCGUAGGCGGAUGGUCAAGUCGGGGGUGAAAUCUUUCAGCUUAACUGGAAAAGUGCCUCCGAUACUGGAUCGUCUCGAGGGAGGUAGGGGCAUGUGGAACUUCCGGUGGAGCGGUGAAAUGCGUAGAUAUCGGAAGGAACGCCGGUGGCGAAAGCGACGUGCUGGACCUCUUCUGACGCUGAGGCGCGAAAGCUAGGGGAGCAAACGGG
This 254-nucleotide ribosomal RNA is filed under the name uncultured bacterium. RNAcentral's name for it is "partial 16S ribosomal RNA". It matches the Rfam family "Bacterial small subunit ribosomal RNA", at positions 524 to 776 of the family's 1533-position model. The record is from RNAcentral.